GAUGAACGCUGGCGGCGUGCCUAAUACAUGCAAGUCGAGCGAACAGACGAGGAGCUUGCUCCUCUGACGUUAGCGGCGGACGGGUGAGUAACACGUGGAUAACCUACCUAUAAGACUGGGAUAACUUCGGGAAACCGGAGCUAAUACCGGAUAAUAUUUUGAACCGCAUGGUUCAAUAGUGAAAGACGGUUUUGCUGUCACUUAUAGAUGGAUCCGCGCCGCAUUAGCUAGUUGGUAAGGUAACGGCUUACCAAGGCAACGAUGCGUAGCCGACCUGAGAGGGUGAUCGGCCACACUGGAACUGAGACACGGUCCAGACUCCUACGCGAGGCAGCAGUAGGGAAUCUUCCGCAAUGGGCGAAAGCCUGACGGAGCAACGCCGCGUGAGUGAUGAAGGUCUUCGGAUCGUAAAACUCUGUUAUUAGGGAAGAACAAAUGUGUAAGUAACUAUGCACGUCUUGACGGUACCUAAUCAGAAAGCCACGGCUAACUACGUG
This 497-nucleotide ribosomal RNA is filed under the name uncultured bacterium. RNAcentral describes it as "partial 16S ribosomal RNA". It matches the Rfam family "Bacterial small subunit ribosomal RNA", at positions 28 to 507 of the family's 1533-position model. The record is from RNAcentral.